Corvus hawaiiensis (hawaiian crow) is the source of this 1608-nucleotide long non-coding RNA. RefSeq lists it as uncharacterized. The transcript is spliced from 3 exons. The record is from RefSeq and is a predicted model, not a curated record. Lineage: Eukaryota; Metazoa; Chordata; Aves; Passeriformes; Corvidae.
AGGAGGAAACACGGGAAAGCUGGCUGCAGGCUUUAAGAUGGCUUUCCAAAGUGUGAAAGCAAUGCCAAAAUGGAAGACAAAAGAUAGACUUCAUCAUCUGCAUAGAAUGAAACCUUGAAAAAACUGUAGGAAGAGGACAAUAUUGAGGAAUUAUGUACAGUACCUUGUCCAUGAUGUGUUUCUGAAGAUUCCAUGUUGUCACAAAUCGACCUAUGCUGCUGCUCAAAGGACUGUAAUAGAACUGGUGCUUCUGUAUCUUUGAUUUUUCCUGCCUGUUUGAAAACCACGAGAAAACAGCCAUUCUCUGUGAAAGAAGAUACAGAUGGAACUUCGUCAAAACACUUGUUGGAAACUGUUUGAGAGAGUCCUAAGUAGUUUUUAACAUGCUUUAUCGCGUGACAACAUCUCUGGGCUGUAGGCAGAACUGAAGCAGAUGGUUGUCCUGUCUCUCAGUGUGGUGUUAUCAGAAGGCACAUUGAGUACUUCUGUCAUAAAACCUGCCGUUGAAUUUGCUUGUGCUGGACUUGUACAGGUUGCUUGGGGGCCUAGUGAGGGUGUGGAUUUACAGUUUGUCAGGUAACCCCCAGUAACACCCACGGACACGGCUGUACCUGGUAGCGAGCAGAAGCCAGGUAUUCCUCAACGAAAACAGGGUCAACAGCCUGCACACAGGCAGUUUCCAGGGAGCAGUUAACAUGCUGUAAAUCCCCACCUACUCUUGCCUCACUCUAAUUUGUGUGCGUAGUCAUACCCCAAGCAAAGGUGAAUAAAUACACCCAUGAGCUGGGCAGAAAAAUCUCAUCCCACAAACACCGACACAACGGACAGCAGGGAGUGGGGUUAAAAGAGGUGGGCGUGCCAUCAGCGUUUUGCUUUCUUUGUCCCUUGCUGAAAUAAAUUGCUUUUGUGUUGUGACUAUUUUCACAGUUCAUGAGUUUCCCUUAUUUUUUCAGUUAGCAAUAGCUGUUACCAAAGUUCAUCUGUUUCUCUUUGCACUUUAAUUUACAGCCCUUGUACUAGUCAUUUUAUUGCUACAACCUCUGGGUGAGAGAACUUUUACAGCUUGUGAUUACUGAACUUGGAGAAACAAGAAAGUUUUUUGACCUGUUGUGGUGUAAUUAUAGACCCCAUUGCUUCUUGGGAGGGGCAUUCAAUGUUUAACAAACUGUGGCAAUUCUAAUUUAACUGUGUGGAGCCUGGACCAUUGGAUGCAAGUUAAAAAAAGUAAAUCCUGGAUUUUUUCCAGGUCAUAUUUGAACUUGUCUGGUUUUAGUCUCUCAAGGGCUGUCCUUGAAGUUCUGCCUUCCCACUACUGAACUUGACACUGCUCCUUUCUUAGCAGUAUGAAAGCAUGGGAGCCAAAUUAUUUGCAUAUGAAAACAAUUUCCUCUUGCUUCAGAAAUUACAGCUACACUACUUUUGAUUAAUCCUUUCAUGAGGUGAGUCUUUUGAAUGCCAUACCAUGCAAAUACAGCUCUUGACAACAGAAAAACUGUCCUGUCUUAAUUACCACUAUUGUUUCAUAUUAUAGGGGCUGUGGUCAUGGACAAAGAUUCAGUUGUGUUCAAUCGUAUAAAAACAGAGAAUAAAUAGACUCUGUGUUUGAAA